AUUGAACGCUGGCGGAAUGCUUUACACAUGCAAGUCGAGCGGCAGCGCGGGGGCAACCCUGGCGGCGAGCGGCGAACGGGUGAGUAAUGCAUCGGAACGUACCCAUUUGUGGGGGAUAACUGUCCGAAAGGACAGCUAAUACCGCAUAAGUCCUGAGGGAGAAAGCGGGGGAUCGCAAGACCUCGCGCGAAUGGAGCGGCCGAUGCCGGAUUAGCUAGUUGGUAGGGUAAAGGCCUACCAAGGCGACGAUCCGUAGCUGGUCUGAGAGGAUGAUCAGCCACACUGGAACUGAGACACGGUCCAGACUCCUACGGGAGGCAGCAGUGGGGAAUUUUGGACAAUGGGGGCAACCCUGAUCCAGCCAUUCCGCGUGAGUGAAGAAGGCCUUCGGGUUGUAAAGCUCUUUCGGCAGGAACGAAACGGUCCUGGUUAAUACCUGGGGCUAAUGACGGUACCUGAAGAAGAAGCACCGGCUAACUACGUGCCAGCCGCCGCAGUAA
This 500-nucleotide ribosomal RNA is filed under the name uncultured bacterium. Its description in RNAcentral is "partial 16S ribosomal RNA". It matches the Rfam family "Bacterial small subunit ribosomal RNA", at positions 29 to 523 of the family's 1533-position model. The record is from RNAcentral.